This 1240-nucleotide long non-coding RNA is filed under the name Ananas comosus (pineapple). RNAcentral describes it as "long non-coding RNA (ACOM_LNC006408)". The record is from RNAcentral. Lineage: Eukaryota; Viridiplantae; Streptophyta; Magnoliopsida; Poales; Bromeliaceae.
AUUCUCUCUCUCUCUCUCUCUCUCUCUCUCUCUCUCUCUAUAUAUAUAUAUAUAUAUAUAUAUAUAGAGUUAGGCUGGUAUACUAUCGAUAACAUGAAAGUCUCCGUACUACCAAGUUGUUUUUAAUUAUGUGGCUUCCAAAUCGACGAUUGGCUCCGUUAAAUUUGAUCUACACUAUUAAAAAUAGUUAGAAACUAUUAAAAAAAAAUGUCACUGUUUAGAGUAAGGUCAGUAUUUUUGAUUUUGCAUUCAAGUUUUUUAUCAUUAUUUUUUAUAAGAUUUUUAUUUUCAGUCGUUCAUUUUUAGACUACUCGUUUGAUAGGUAAAUGAUGCCAAAAAAUUAUGAAAUUUAGUUUUCAAAUACUUUUAAUAAUGUAGAUCAAGUUUAACGAAACCGAUCGUUAAUUUGGAAGUUGCAUCAUUGAAAAUAACUUGGUAGCACGGAGGUCUCCAUGCUACCGAUAGUAUACCAUAUUAGCUCUCUCUCUCUCUCUCUCUCUCUCUCUCUCUCUCUCUCUCUCUCUCUCUCUCUAUAUAUAUAUAUAUAUAUAUAUAUAUAUAUCCUGCGUUCUAUGAGCAAGACUGCUGUGCUCUCAGGAGCACGGAGGCCUCCGUGCUCCUGAACCGUUUUCAAUGAUGAAAUUUUCGUCGAUAUAUAUAUCCUGCUUUCUAUGAGCAAGACUGUUGUGCUCUCAGGAGCACAGAGGCCUCCAUGCUCCUGAACCGUUUUCAAUGAUGAAAUUUUCGAAUCGACGAUCGACUCCGUUAAACUUGAUCUAGCGUAUUUGAAGUUUCUAUAAAAUAAUUUUUGCAAUUUUUUGAUAUCAUUUACCUAAUGAUCGAAAGGAUUCAAAAUCAAUCAUUUUUAAUGGUUGAUAUCUACCGUUUUCAAGUUUAACGGUGUAGAAGUAUUCAAAUUAGAUGAAAUUUUGAUACAAAAUUCUUUAUACUAUCUACAAUAAGAUCAAUAUUUCUAAUCGAAAAUUUUAGUGCUAUAUCAUCACUUUUUAUAGAAUUUUUAUUUUCAGCCGUUAAAAUUUAUUGAUUUUGAAUCCUUUCGAUUGUUAGGUAAAUGAUAUCAAAAAUUCGCAAAAAUUAUUUUCUAGAAACUUUAAAUACGCUAGAUCAAGUCUAACGAAGCCGAUCGUCGAUUCGAAAAUUUCAUCAUCGAAAAUAGUUUAGGAGCAUGAAAAGCACAGCAGUCCUUUUCUCUCUCUCUAUAUAUAAAUGCACUUACACU